This 264-nucleotide long non-coding RNA is filed under the name Gossypium barbadense (sea-island cotton). RNAcentral describes it as "long non-coding RNA (GBAR_LNC010106)". The record is from RNAcentral. Lineage: Eukaryota; Viridiplantae; Streptophyta; Magnoliopsida; Malvales; Malvaceae.
GCGGAGCGAAGAUGGAACAUUGCCCCCAAGGCAUACAAAGACAUGAAGAAUGUUGGCCCUUCACCCUCACCACCCAUAACAGUUGCACUCAACAAAUUCUCUCCAUGGAGAAAGGAAAACUCAAACUCGUAAUUAUCUAGUAGAAACUUGUGACACUCUAAAAAGGUCUGCAUCUCCUCCUCCAUUGUUGUACAUUCAAAGGACCCGCUGCUGAUAAACAUAUCCACCGAUCUCUUUCUUACCCCAAUCCAUCUUCUUCCCUGC